UACAGAGGUGCCAAGCGUUGUUCGGAUUUACUGGGCGUAAAGGGUGCGUAGGCGGUCGCGCAAGUCGGACGUGAAAUCCCGGGGCUCAACCCCGGAACGGCGUUCGAAACUGCGCGGCUAGAGGUCUGGAGAGGUGACUGGAAUUCUCGGUGUAGCAGUGAAAUGCGUAGAUAUCGAGAGGAACGCCAGAGGCGAAAGCGGAUCACUGGACAGAACCUGACGCUGAGGCACGAAAGCCAGGGGAGCAAACGGG
This 253-nucleotide ribosomal RNA is filed under the name uncultured bacterium. RNAcentral's name for it is "partial 16S ribosomal RNA". It matches the Rfam family "Bacterial small subunit ribosomal RNA", at positions 524 to 776 of the family's 1533-position model. The record is from RNAcentral.